Non-coding RNA from Fukomys damarensis (Damara mole-rat), 71 nucleotides. The record is from Rfam. NCBI's taxonomy places the organism in Eukaryota, Metazoa, Chordata, Mammalia, Rodentia, Bathyergidae.
UUUAAAAGGUAGAUUUUCUUUUAUGGUUACGUGUUUGCUGGUUAAUCAUAAAGGAAAAUCCACGUUUUCAG